This 270-nucleotide ribosomal RNA is filed under the name uncultured archaeon. RNAcentral describes it as "partial 16S ribosomal RNA". It matches the Rfam family "Archaeal small subunit ribosomal RNA", at positions 477 to 747 of the family's 1478-position model. The record is from RNAcentral.
CAGCACCUCAAGUGGUCAGGAUGAUUAUUGGGCCUAAAGCAUCCGUAGCCUGCUUUGUUAGUUUUCGGUUAAAUCUGUACGCUCAACGUACAGGCUGCCGGGAAUACUGCAGCGCUAGGGAGUGGGAGAGGUAGACGGUACUCGGUAGGAAGGGGUAAAAUCCUUUGAUCUAUUGAUGACCACCUGUGGCGAAGGCGGUCUACCAGAACACGUCCGACGGUGAGGGAUGAAAGCUGGGGGAGCAAACCGGAUUAGAGACCCGAGUAGUCC